CAGCAGCCGCGGUAAUACGGAGGGUGCGAGCGUUAAUCGGAUUUACUGGGCGUAAAGCGUGCGUAGGCGGCUUUUUAAGUCGGAUGUGAAAUCCCUGAGCUUAACUUAGGAAUUGCAUUCGAUACUGGGAAGCUAGAGUAUGGGAGAGGAUGGUAGAAUUCCAGGUGUAGCGGUGAAAUGCGUAGAGAUCUGGAGGAAUACCGAUGGCGAAGGCAGCCAUCUGGCCUAAUACUGACGCUGAGGUACGAAAGCAUGGGGAGCAAACAGGAUUAGAUACCCCUGUAGUCCCUGUCUCUUAUAC
This 301-nucleotide ribosomal RNA is filed under the name uncultured bacterium. RNAcentral's name for it is "partial 16S ribosomal RNA". It matches the Rfam family "Bacterial small subunit ribosomal RNA", at positions 509 to 807 of the family's 1533-position model. The record is from RNAcentral.